Molecule: ribosomal RNA, 426 nt
Filed under: uncultured prokaryote
Description: bacterial SSU rRNA
Rfam family: Bacterial small subunit ribosomal RNA
Source: RNAcentral
UCGAGAAUUUUUCACAAUGGGGGAAACCCUGAUGGAGCGACGCCGCGUGGGGGAUGAAUGGCUUCGGCCCGUAAACCCCUGUCAUUUGCGAUCAAUGCGCAUUAUUUAAAAGAUGAUGUGUUGAUGGUAGCGAAAGAGGAAGGGACGGCUAACUCUGUGCCAGCAGCCGCGGUAAUACAGAGGUCCCGAGCGUUGUUCGGAUUCACUGGGCGUAAAGGGUGCGUAGGUGGGGGGGUAAGUCGGAUGUGAAAGCGCGGAGCUCAACGCCGAAAUGGCAUGGGAAACUGCCCUGCUUGAGGUUUGGAGGGGGGACUGGAAUUCUCGGUGUAGCAGUGAAAUGCGUAGAUAUCGAGAGGAACACCAGUGGCGAAGGCGAGUCCCUGGACAAGACCUGACACUGAGGCACGAAAGCUAGGGGAGCAAACA